This 201-nucleotide long non-coding RNA is filed under the name Capsicum annuum. Its description in RNAcentral is "long non-coding RNA (CANN_LNC006876)". The record is from RNAcentral. Lineage: Eukaryota; Viridiplantae; Streptophyta; Magnoliopsida; Solanales; Solanaceae.
UCCUAUAAGAACCGGUCUAUUAGAGUCCUCUGGAAUGGUAUAGAGGUAGUUUACUUUUAUUGGAAGGCUUUUGGUUUUUAGGAAUGGACUCUUUUUUUAUUCUUUCCUGCUAUAAGUUGAUUUCAAUUGGUAUCUGGUGAUUCAAAUUGAUAUAUAAUUCUUUAACUCAUACUUGCAGAUAGUUAAUACUCAUUACAAAAU